Molecule: small nuclear RNA, 105 nt
Organism: Gorilla gorilla gorilla (western lowland gorilla)
Lineage: Eukaryota; Metazoa; Chordata; Mammalia; Primates; Hominidae
Source: Ensembl
GUAGUGGUCUCAUUCCUGUUGGUAUCAACACUGGAAUAUUACAGAGAAGAUUAGCAUAGCCUCUUGCAAAGAUGCCUCACAAAUUUGUAAACUUGCUAUAUUUUU